CGGCGCCGCCAUUAUCUCUUCAAAUUUCGAAUCGUCUCCCAGUAACUCGUUGCCCAUUUAACGAUAAGUAAUAACAUCAGAUUAUAAAAUUUGUGAGAAUAAUCGCAAAAUACUACUUCACCUAUAAAUGACGUUGUUUGAUUAAACGAAUCAAACAUGAUGAUACAUUGAAUCAGUUAGUGAAAACGUUGGUGGAAGCCUCGAACCAGCGCGCACUCCUACGCGGCCUCUGAUUGGUCCAAUAUCAUCCGACGUACUUGGCCAUUUUAAGAAGUGUUCGCGCAGCAGCGCCAUUGCCUCGUCGAACUUCGAAUCCACUGCUUCGUCUCCAGGCUGCAUGGUUGUCUCCAAAAUUCAGAGCCUAAAAAGGAUCUUAAAGCUUCUUGAAGUGGAUCCCUGAUCACUAGACUUCGGGGAAAAACAUGAUAAUAAUGUUCUUGCUAGGUGAUCAUCGACCAUAAACUUCAAGUGGAGAAUCUCUGUAAUUGGAAUUUUCCGAAAGAAUCCGAUAGCUACUUCAAGCGGAUCUCUAAUGUUCACCAGACUUAGUAAAAAUUGGCAAUAAUUUUUCCUGCACGCAAUUGAGUCUUCUCAUGUGUUUGAUCAUCAACCAUCGAUAUAACGUGAGAAAUUUCGCAUCGUUCUUCGUGGGAGCAUGUCAUGAGCUUCUCAUCAUACUACCCUGACUACAUUUAAUCCACUACACUGAACCUACAACGCUUCAACCUACUACCAAUAUAUCUAUGCUACUACACAGUUGUAACCUUCAGGGAGGCAGCGACAUCCGGGUAAAAUCCGAGACCCCCGAGCUCGGGGAGAGCAGAUCGGGUCCGGUCUUGGUACCGGCAGCGAUGGGUAAGUCCCAGCAGUUGGAUUUCCUCGAUUUCUUUGCCAGCUCACACGAUGGUGAACGCUGGCAUCGGGGUCGUUGUAUGUAUCUAGAUUUGAGUAUCCUAAUCCCCAUCCUUAUUUCACGUGGCGUGGCGGUAAUUUUAGAUUUUAAAAUCAUUUUAUUAGCUCAGGUAAUCGUAGGUUUGGUUGCUGUUGAGCAUAGCGCACCUGCACUUAGUAGAGUCACAAAUAUUGAAUUAUCUCAGAAAUGAUCAUUCUGCGGUCAGUAAAUCGAGUGGCUAGUCAGUUAACAAAUAGUUUAUGAAUUAUGAACUAUUUGAACAAAAAAACGAUCAUCGAUCAACCUUGUAAGCAAGAGUGUGCGGCUCAUAGGCAACGGUAGAGACCAUCGUUCGAUCGGUACGCGCAAUCUUUUGAUUUUAAAAUAAAUUUUAGUGGUUGAUUUCGUUUGCGUCGAUCACUCAACGGUAGAAAAAAUUUAGUCGUUCAAACGGUGGUUCUUUACCAUAGUAUCAAUCUCUAUAUAAGGAUCAGGUAUGAAAUUUAGCAACUUCAAUGAAUUAAGAAAUUUGCGAUUUUAUAGCAAAACUUACAAAAAUAAUCCAUUUUGUUAUUAUCAAUUCUAUUCCACUUCAACUAAUCAACUGUAACUCAUAAACGGAAAAACAUCUCUUUUUUUCUCCCUGAUUCUCUGCUAACUUUAAAUAUCCGAUUAAGCUUCAAGCAACUACCGCGGACAUCAUGUAUAGAUUAAGAAUAAAAAUGAAAUUACGAUUAAUUGUAAGUCUUAACUAUGGUUUUAAUAAAUAAGUAAAUUGAAAUUUCCAAAAUCGCUAACUAUGAAAAUAAUAUACUUGGGCAACGUUUUCUCUUCUGCUUCUGAAAUCUUCAGAAAUCGAAAGAUUUGACUGACUUAUAUUUAUAAUUGGGUUCGAUUCCCGUUCAAACAAGGAUAUUACUUCACUACAUAUUGUAUUUUUUUUAACAUUAAUAAAAAAAUUAAAUUACUUAUAAGAAACCUAAAGGAUGGUUCGGUAAUGGAUAUUACUUCGCUGCAUAUUGUAUUUUUCUCAACAUUAAUAAAAAAAGGAAAUUACUGAUAAAGAACCUAAAUGCAUAGUUAGGUAAUGGAAAAAUUACCUUCAGAAUUAAUGUCAAGUUUCAAUAGGUCAAGACUGCUUGUAGUAAAUUAAGAAACUUUAUAUAUGGAGAUUAACGAGAUCUAGGAUGUUUUAUCAUACAAGAAUCUUACUUUCCUAACAUAAAUCUUUCGAACCUCAAUUUGUUUUAUUGAGUACACAAAUAGAUAUGAGAUGAAUUAGAGACAUUCCUUUGUUGUAAUGAAAUUUAUUUCCCAAAGAUUCUAUUGGAAUCAUAUUUUAGAAAAUCAUUCUGCACUCAGUCAAUGUGCUCGACUUACGUUUACGAUCAAAAAAUGAAUGAUGGUAAUGAUCAUAAUUAUCACGAUGAUGGUAAUAAUCUGUAUCCAUGGAAAUUUAUGUGUACAUACAUAAUCGUAUGUAUGUGUGGAUGUGUGUAGAGUCAUUUUGGGUAGCUGAACUGUACACUUAGUACUGUCACACCCGAUGACCAUGUAUGUGGAGUCAUUGAGGGCAACUGCGUGCAACGGGUGGGUGUACGUGAAGACGUUAUUCAAUAGUAAUAACAAGUUUGCGUACCCUUAGCUGCUGCGCUCAGUUAUACCCGAUGACUAUGUAUGUGUGUGGGGUCAUUUUGGGUAGCUGAACUGUACGCUUUGUACAGUCACACCCGAUGACCCCGUAUGUGUGUGUGUGCGUAUGUUGGAUGUACGUGGAGUCAUUAAGGGUAACUGUGCGCAACGGGUUAGUGUACGCAAAUACGUUGUUCAACAGUAAUAACAAGUUUGCGUACACGUGACUGUUGCGCGCAGUCACACUAGAUGACUAUGCAUGUGUGUAGAGUCAUUUUGGGUAGCUGAACUGUACGCUUCGUACAGUCACACCCGAUGACCAUGUAUGUGGAGUCAUCGAGGGCAACUGCUUGCAUCAGGUGGGUGUGCGUGAAGACGUUAUUCAAUAGUAAUAACAAGUUUGCGUACCCUUAGCUGCUGCGCUCAGUUAUACCCGAUGACUAUGUAUGCGUGUGGGGUCAUUUUGGGUAGCUGAACUGUACACUUAGUGCAGUCACACCCGAUGACCACGUAUGUGGUAUGUAUGUAUAUGUUUAUCGAUAUGGAUGUAGAUUGUUAUCAUCGUCAUGUCUACGAUUUAUAUAGUAUACUUCAAUUUUUCAUAAUAAAUCAAUUUCACUAGAGUUGUAUAUUCAUGUAUAUUUCACCAAGGUCAUGUUUUGUGCAUGAAUAAAUGUACAUAAGUACAAGUACAAUUUGCGAUUCUAUUACGAAAGUUACAUCAAUUAUCAAUUCAGUUAUCCUGCAUUCUUCUUCACUUACAAUUCAACUAAUUAACCGGCACUCAUAAAGAGACAAAAAUAUCUUUCAACAUCUCUUAUUUCUCACUGAUUCUCUGCUUACUUCAAAUAUCCGAAUAAGCUUCAAGCAACUACCGCGGACAUCAUGUAGAUUAAGAAUAAGAAUAAGAUUACCAUUAAAUCUCGAUGAAUAAAAUAAGAUUUUCCAAAUUGUCAACUAUCACAAGAAUAUUCUUUGGCAAUGUUUGCUCUUCUGAAAUCCUUAAAAUUCGGAUGACCAUGCCUGACUUCCAUUGAUGAUCGGGUUCGAUUCCCCUUCGAAGACAAAUAUUAGUCCACCAUAUAUUGUAGUUUUGGUAAGCAUUAAGAAAAAAUAAAAUUACCCCAAUCUAUAGUUAGGAAAUGUAAAAAUUAACUUAAGAAUUAUUGUCCAGUGUUCAUAAGUUAAGACUGCUUGUAGUAUAUUAAGAAACUAUACGUAUAACGAGAUUUAGGAUGUCUAAUCAUAAAAGAAUUUUUCUUCCCUUACACAAAUUGUUCAGCCCUUAACUUUUUUUCUCGAGUACACAAAUAGAUACGAGAUGAAGCCUUUUUUUUGCAAUGAAAUUCAUUUCUCAAAGAUUCUGUCGAAAUCAAGUUACUAAAACUCAUUCGAAGAUUAUGAAUGUUG
This is a long non-coding RNA of Athalia rosae (coleseed sawfly), 3934 nucleotides long. RefSeq lists it as uncharacterized. Lineage: Eukaryota; Metazoa; Arthropoda; Insecta; Hymenoptera; Athaliidae. The record is from RefSeq and is a predicted model, not a curated record. The transcript is spliced from 5 exons.